This 621-nucleotide long non-coding RNA is filed under the name Pan troglodytes (chimpanzee). RNAcentral's name for it is "long non-coding RNA NONPTRT002614". The record is from RNAcentral. Lineage: Eukaryota; Metazoa; Chordata; Mammalia; Primates; Hominidae.
GAGAUCUCAGAUAACAGUCAGUGUCAAUUGUUAAGCAGUCAGCAUUAUAAGACAGUUAUCUCUCAUUUGGGAUGCUCACUCUUGGAACCCAGCCACCAUGUUGUGAGAAAGCUCAGGCCACAUGCAGAGGCCACAUAAAAUGAAGCCUGUGAAAAUUGAAUAAAGGAGGUGAAUCACAAUCUGGAGCUGACUUAAGAGGUAUUUUUGAAGGAAGACUGUUGAACCUAAAGUAUCUUUCCACCAGCUACUGAGACAAAGGAAUCUUCUUUUUUCCUAACAUUAUUUUUAGCAAUGGCAGUCUUCUAAACCAAUAGAUGGCAAUGCCAGCUAGUAAUGAAAGAGCCCAGAGACCAGAAUCCUUCCUAUCUUUAAACUUUAAUUUAUUAUACAUUGUCUCCCUCAGAUGCUGUGGCCUGCUCCCUGGUUUUAUGUACAAAUAGCAGAGAAACACCUAUAAGCCUCUAGCAAUUCUUUCAGUUCCUUUUCUGUGUCUGUGCUUCCCUUGGCAGGAUUCUGUGUGUGCUUUGCAUCCAGUGGGGUGUUACUGUAAUGCUUUGUAACAGAAUCUGCCCUUGCACUACUGGCACCAUUUGGCAAAAAGGGCUAGGAAUUGAAGUCCCC